Molecule: non-coding RNA, 26 nt
Filed under: Homo sapiens (human)
Lineage: Eukaryota; Metazoa; Chordata; Mammalia; Primates; Hominidae
Source: RNAcentral
UCCUGUAAGAAGAAUGAAGGUGUGCU